Molecule: long non-coding RNA, 241 nt
Filed under: Elaeis guineensis (African oil palm)
Lineage: Eukaryota; Viridiplantae; Streptophyta; Magnoliopsida; Arecales; Arecaceae
Description: long non-coding RNA (EGUI_LNC054225)
Source: RNAcentral
GUUGGCACUGUUGAAGUCCGGUUGGCACUGUUGAAGGUUGAUGGCUGGAGAGGUAUGGAAGACACCGGAUACAGUCGGUCACUAUAGAAAUUCGAUUGCUGGAGCCCAUCCGUUGUAGAAGUUCGUCCGGAAUCCAUCCGCUGUACAAGUUUAGACGGAGUCUGGCUCUUGUGGGAGUCUGGAAGGAGGCCGCUUACUGUAGAAGCUCGGAUGGAGACCGGUUGCCGUGGAAGCUCGGAUG